AGAGUUUGAUCCUGGCUCAGAAUCAACGCUGGCGGCGUGCCUAACACAUGCAAGUCGAGCGAGAAAGGGAGCUUCGGUUCCUGAGUAGAGCGGCGGACGGGUGAGUAACACGUGGGUAAUCUGCCCUCGGGUGGGGAAUAACUCAGGGAAACCUGGGCUAAUUCCGCAUGAUAUUUCCGGUGCAUAGGCAUUGGAAAUCAAAGCUGGGGACCCUUCGGGGCCUGGCGCCUGAGGAGGAGCCCGCGGCCAAUUAGCUUGUUGGUGGGGUAAUGGCCCACCAAGGCUUCGAUUGGUAGCCGGCCUGAGAGGGCGGACGGUCACACUGGGACUGAGACACGGCCCAGACUCCUACGGGAGGCAGCAGUGGGGAAUUUUUGUCAAUGGGGGAAACCCUGAACAAGCAACGCCGCGUGGAGGACGAAGACCCUCGGGUUGUAAACUCCUGUCGGAGGGGACGAAGGUGUCGUUGGUUAAUACCCAGCAGCAUUGACGGUACCCUACGAGGAAGCCCCGGCUAACUCCGUGCCAGCAGCCGCGGUAAUACGGGGGGGGCAAGCGUUGUUCGGAAUUACUGGGCGUAAAGGGCGCGUAGGCGGACCAGACAGUCUCUCGUGAAAUCCCACGGCUCAACCGUGGAACUGCGGGAGAUACUACUGGUCUUGAGUUCGGGAGAGGAGUGUGGAAUUCCCAGUGUAGCGGUGAAAUGCGUAGAUAUUGGGAGGAACACCGGUGGCGAAGGCGGCACUCUGGACCGUUACUGACGCUGAGGCGCGAAAGCUAGGGGAGCAAACGGGAUUAGAUACCCCGGUAGUCCUAGCUGUAAACGAUGAGCACUUGGUGUAGCGGGUAUCGACCCCUGCUGUGCCGGAGUUAACGCAUUAAGUGCUCCGCCUGGGGAGUACGGUCGCAAGGCUGAAACUCAAAGGGAUUGACGGGGGCCCGCACAAGCGGUGGAGCAUGUGGUUUAAUUCGACGCAACGCGAAGAACCUUACCUGGGUUUGAACCGCCGGUGGCGAGUGCAAAGAUGUACUCUUCCUUAGGGACGCAGGUAGAGGUGCUGCAUGCCUGUCGUCAGCUCGUGUCGUGAGAUGUAGUAG
RNAcentral lists this ribosomal RNA (1098 nucleotides) under uncultured Acidobacteriota bacterium. Its description in RNAcentral is "bacterial SSU rRNA". It matches the Rfam family "Bacterial small subunit ribosomal RNA", at positions 8 to 1080 of the family's 1533-position model. The record is from RNAcentral. Lineage: Bacteria; Pseudomonadati; Acidobacteriota.